RNAcentral lists this ribosomal RNA (1012 nucleotides) under Bacillus pumilus. RNAcentral describes it as "partial 16S ribosomal RNA". Lineage: Bacteria; Bacillati; Bacillota; Bacilli; Caryophanales; Bacillaceae. The record is from RNAcentral.
CACACUAUUUCCCCGGUUGGUCUGUAGUAGACAGUAGCCAUAACUUGUCCGGAUGUCAGCGGCGGACGGGUGAGUAACACGUGGGUUACCUGCCUGUAGACUGGGAUAACUCCGGGAAACCGGCCUAAUACCGGAUGCUUCCUUGAACCGCAUGCUGUUUCUGAAAGCUGGCUUUAAGCAUCAACUAUUGAGGAAUGGCUUAGCCUCGGGAGUCGGUGGGGUAUGGGCUGACCAGUGCAGAAGGGGGCGCCAAUGGGAUGGGUGGAGGCUGACUGACCUGUGCAAGGGUUAGAUGGUUGGCACGGGGGUACGAAGAUGGGAAUUAUAUGGAAAGAGUCAGGUGGGGUCGAGGGGAUGAUUCCAUCUACUAUGGUCUGGGCAGAAGGUUGUGGGUUACCUUGAGUCUAACUAUCAUGUUUUGGGCAGAGGGAAUUUUGGUGAUGUAUUAAAUUAUGGGAAAGCGGGGGGUUUAUUUUUUAUUGGCCAAGGGGUUUUGAAUGUUUUGGGGGAAGGGGAAUUUUUUUGGGUUUAGAGAUGGGGGGGGGCCCCCUUUUGUCCCCCUUUUUUUUCUUGGGGGGGGGGGAGAGGAAGGAAAAAUUAAAAAAAAAUUGUAUUUUUUUUCUCUCCCCUUUCCGCCACAAAAGAAAGAAAAAAAAAGGGGGGGGGGGGGGGGGGGGUGAUCCUCCCCCUCCCCUCGGGGCGCGCGCGCAAAAAAAAAUUAUGAUCCUCCCCCCCCCCCGGGGGGGGGGGGGGGGGGGCCCCCCCCAGAAGGGGGGGGGGGGGGGGGGGGGGGGUGGUGGUUUUUUUUUUUUUUUAGAGAGGGGGGUGGCAGAUAUAUAUAAUUGUUUCUGUUUCCCUCUUUAUCCCAUGGGGUCCCCCCCCGCGCGGGGGGGGGGUGCCCUGUGUUGGGAUUUUUUUUUUUCGUCCCCCCACUGAAUGAGAGAUAUUAUUUAUGAAUCGAUGCUCUAAUGUUUUGUCACUUGUACUGUCAUGAGCAAAUGUUUGAAUGAUA